AUAUUAUUAAGCGGAGGAAAAGAAACUAACCAGGAUUCCCUUAGUAACGGCGAGUGAAGCGGGACAAGCUCAGACUGAAAAUCUUCGGAGUUGUAGUCUGGAGAAGUCAAAUCAACUUGUAGUUUCGGAUAAAGUCUCUUGGAACAGAGCGCCGUGGAGGGUGAUAGCCCCGUUCAUGUCUGAAAUGAAAAGUGUACGAUUGGCUUUCUAAGAGUCGAGUUGUUUGGGAUUGCAGCUCUAAGUGGGUGGUAAAUUCCAUCUAAAGCUAAAUAUUGGCGAGAGACCGAUAGCGCACAAGUA
RNAcentral lists this ribosomal RNA (300 nucleotides) under uncultured eukaryote. RNAcentral describes it as "partial large subunit ribosomal RNA". It matches the Rfam family "Eukaryotic large subunit ribosomal RNA", at positions 40 to 350 of the family's 3401-position model. The record is from RNAcentral.